Molecule: long non-coding RNA, 1796 nt
Organism: Taeniopygia guttata (zebra finch)
Lineage: Eukaryota; Metazoa; Chordata; Aves; Passeriformes; Estrildidae
Source: Ensembl
CAUGCUCUAGGAUCAUAAUUACAAGACAAAAUAUUAUCGCAGGAGGCUGAAUUUAACAAGGUAUCAGCCAAGGGGACAGGACUUUAAGUGCAUGGGGAUACUAUGCUGAGUGGGACUGUUGGGGAGCCCCAGAAAAGAUGCUAGGUUUAUAUUAGCUGAUUUCAAAAUCUCUGUCAAAAUGUGCCAUAUCCCUGGCUGUCAAUGUCAUUCCUAACAACACAGGCUUUUCCCCUCUUCCACAGGCUGGAAAGAAACUGGCCCUUAUCUCCCUCCUAACUCGACCCUCCCCACCAGGGUCUGAUCCAGAGCCCGCAGGUCCUGCUAAUGAGAGCACUCAUGGUGGGAAUAUGGACACUUACCUGCUCCAAGGCCUUCCCCGGCAGCAAGCUCAGGCUGCCAGGCCUAUGGAUCCUGGAUCAUCCUUCCCACCGAGACUUCCAUUGCACGGCUCUUCCAUUGGCACAUCUGUGCUCAGCUGGGACUACUCUGCUCACCCAGGGCUGCUGGUAAAGGAUGGAGAGCAGCCUGGCAAGCUCUUUCUCCAGCUCCCUCUGUGCUCUUGGGGAAGGUAGAACCUUGCACAGGAAAGCAACUGGUGCCACAAGGAGUGGGUGGCAGCAGGCAGCUCUGGGGAAGCCCCUCAGGAAUGCUGUAUCCUGAGGGAACACUGUUGGCCUUGACCUGUGGGCACCUGCAAAAGCUUCAAAUCAGCUGCCUCAGCUUCCAGGGCCUCUCUUGGCCAGCAUCCUGACGUGGAUGCAGGACGGCUGCCAGGCACUGCUGGGACCCAGCGGGACAGGAGCGGCUGUCUCGUGCCCACGCAGCACCCGUGACACAGCCAGGGCCAUCCCGAGAGCAGACAGACGCUCACGGGCCAGCAGAGAGGAGCAAGGAGCCCUGGGCUCCUCUCAGGGUAUCUCAGCUGGGCUCGCUCCACAACAGACCCCCAUUUGAAGGCCUGCUGAUGCCCAGCUGCCAGAAAUGCCUCCCUUGUGCUCUCCAAGAUGCACAGGGAGAGCCAAGGAGCAGGACACCUUGGCAGGCAAACCUUCCAAGCCUUUUCUGAGGCCAGGCACACACCAAGAUCAGCCAAGACUCUCCACCACGCUGCCUGGCCCACCCAGCCCAGUCUGUGCUGGCCCUGGGCCACAGCAGCUCCCAGCAAGCAGGAGGCAAAUGCAUCUUGCCAAGAGAUGCAACACAACAGACAGGGAAGAUGUGAAAAGUGAGUGUGUAAAGGCCUUUUAAUUCACAGCUCCCACAGAGAGCUCUGGGGCUCACAGAUGGACAGAGAUGGUUCUGCUCACCCCUCUGUCCAAAGGGGGGGUAACACACGCUGCUGCAGGUGCUUGUGUUGGUCUCUGCAGGUCCAGGUGGAUGCCAAACCUGCUCUUCACAGCCUUCUCCCUUCCCCUGCCCCUCUGCCAAGUGCAGCAGGCCUCAAGGACUGAAAGGAGCACAGAGAGCCAAAGGGGGACACUUGCACCUGCCUCACUGGGAGCUCCCUGGGAAGCACUUUCCUUGAGAAGCAAGCCCCUGUCCUCCAAAUGCAUUUCCCCAAAUGUGCGGCUUUUCUGCUCAACACCAACACACCCUUAGGAAACGCUGGCAAGGCUGAAGGACUUCAUGUCCUUUCAGGACAGGCACUCCAGCUCUAGCUCCUAUUCCCAAGUGCCUUUCCAGGUGGAGGCUCAGACGUGCAGCCCCAGGCCCUCUACAAACACAAGCUGCUCAGUGCCUCUUCACCUGCCUCAACUCCUGCCUGCGCCCACGGCACCAAGACCAGGCUGUUCCCA